This 425-nucleotide ribosomal RNA is filed under the name uncultured bacterium. Its description in RNAcentral is "bacterial SSU rRNA". It matches the Rfam family "Bacterial small subunit ribosomal RNA", at positions 358 to 774 of the family's 1533-position model. The record is from RNAcentral.
GGAAUAUUGCGCAAUGGACGAAAGUCUGACGCAGCCACGCCGCGUGAGUGAGGAAGGCCUUCGGGUUGUAAAGCUCUGUCAUCCGGGAAAAACGGCUAUCUGGGGAAAGUUCAGGUAGCGUGAUGGUACCGGAGGAGGAAGCACCGGCAAACUCUGUGCCAGCAGCCGCGGUAAUACAGAGGGUGCAAGCGUUGUUCGGAAUUACUGGGCGUAAAGCGUGCGUAGUCGGUAUUGAGAGUCACGGGUGAAAUCCCAGGGCUUAACCCUGGAACUGCCUGUGAGACCUCAGUACUAGAGUGUGAGAGGGGAUAGUGGAAUACCCAGUGUAGCGGUGAAAUGCGUAGAGAUUGGGUGGAACACCGGUGGCGAAGGCGGCUAUCUGGCUCACAACUGACGAUCAGGCACGAAAGCGUGGGGAGCAAACA